CUCACAUUGAAGAUCGUGCGAAAAUCAUCGUUUCCAAGGGCGUCGAGAUAGCGUCGGAUGGAAAUCCUCUGUCCGUGAGGGUGUCAGUGGCGGCACGAACGCCGAGGUGGCCGGCAGAAACAAGCUAGCCCGGUCGAGUGAACACGUGCCACACGGAAAAUCUCGCGGGAUCCGCGUUUUCUUGUCGAAUUUUCUUCCAGCUUUUUCCGCGUUGUGGCUCGGCCGCGCGUUACAGCCGACUCCGAUGACUGUCGACUAAUAAUAGACGGGCACGGCCACGAGCGAGAGCUAGUUGAGCGAACGAGCGAGCGAAACGAACGCGAAUAUACAGGCUCCACGAUACCAGCUUACAUACGUAUUAAUGUGCGCUGCAUCGCGCCUAACAGUGGACUCAAAAUAUCCGACGGGAGUCAUCCUCGGCCUGUCGCCGAACACACAAGCUCUCAGGGUGGAACUGAAAAUUGUUCGACGGGCGCGUUACGUCUCCUUCCGUGCUCGUUUUUCGUUCGACUCGAUCCGAGAAAAGUUAGGUCUUUCUAAUAGCGACCUUUUGGGAGCCGGCGUAGCUCCGGACAGCCUAAACCUGAAACAUUUCCACUGUUUCUUCAUUGAACGACGACUUUAUACAGAAAGAAGGGCAUCGAUCCCCUAACUACACUACUACACGUUACAACUAGACUGCGGAUCUUAUGCAUUUACACUAUUUCUAGUUUUCCAAGAACGUUUGGAAAAGCUGAAGAAGGGUUUCCUUUUCCUAGGACCAUGACAGAUCCUCUAAUAGAAGAACGGUUUGAUCUUCGAAAAUAAAAAAUUCGUCAAAAGUACUAGCACUGCCUUUCGAAGGAGUUUUCCUGUUGGUUAGUCAAUUAAGAUUUGUUUAGAAUUAGGAUGGACAUCCUUGAUCGGGCAAAGGCGAAUGCAAAACAACAAGCUAAUUAAACCCUUAAUGACGAGGAUUAGCUCCGUCAUCAAUCAGCUUACAGCUUUAAGAACCUUCUACUUUUCUUAUUCAAUCCUUUUAACUAAUUAUUAUUGCUUUCUUACAAUAGAAUAAAAAUAUUGUUAGUUUUUA
Molecule: long non-coding RNA, 1072 nt
Organism: Megalopta genalis
Lineage: Eukaryota; Metazoa; Arthropoda; Insecta; Hymenoptera; Halictidae
Source: RefSeq, a predicted model, not a curated record